GUCAUCUUUACCACUUCAACACUUAGCAAAUAAAACCAAAAGUUGAAGAGCUUCAACAAGAAGCUCACGGCCAAGACUAAGAAAAAUCAACUCCAUUUCAAGCCAUCCCAAAAUUAUUUCUUUGUUGUAAACCCACUAUUUUGAGGUCCCUAAGUAGCGUGGAAGCAUCGUUGGAGCGAUCAAACCAUCAUUUUUCAUCUUUUGGAAACCCUAGGCUAUUGGAAAGUUGAAGAAGAAAGAUCGUGGGCAGCCCGAAUCAUAGGUUGGAUUUAGCUUGAGUUUGGAUCGUAUUGGAGAGCGUUUGAGGUACAGACGCACAGCUUGGUGAUCCACCUGUUUAGGACACCCCCUUCUGCUAUUCGGAGUGCUCCUCUCAUCCCGGAGCUUAUAUUUUUGGUAUAUAUACUUGUUAGUACAUUUAUACAUAUUCG
Long non-coding RNA from Lycium barbarum (goji berry), 431 nucleotides. RefSeq lists it as uncharacterized. The record is from RefSeq and is a predicted model, not a curated record. Lineage: Eukaryota; Viridiplantae; Streptophyta; Magnoliopsida; Solanales; Solanaceae. The transcript has 3 exons.